This is a non-coding RNA of Candidatus Kaiserbacteria bacterium, 85 nucleotides long. The record is from Rfam. Lineage: Bacteria; Candidatus Kaiseribacteriota.
GGAGAGGUGGCUGAGUGGUCGAAAGCACCGGUUUCGAAAACCGGCAUACCGCAAGGUAUCGGGAGUUCGAAUCUCCCCCUCUCCG